Esox lucius (northern pike) is the source of this 278-nucleotide long non-coding RNA. The record is from Ensembl. NCBI's taxonomy places the organism in Eukaryota, Metazoa, Chordata, Actinopteri, Esociformes, Esocidae.
AAGUUGUGCCAGAAGCUGAGAAGAAUUGCGCUGUGAGAACAGUGUGAAUACACACCAGUUGUGCUCCUGGCUGUUGACGUGUGGACACCUGCUACAGCGCCACAUCCAUGUCAGAGGAUCAGCAUCUACCAGGUAUUGCCAGAUCGUCUUGUCCCGUACAGUCGUUUCCAGCGGUCUAUGUGUUCAUCAGCCAGUCUACCUGUCCUUCUAUUCCCCGGUUACGACCCUUGCCUGUUUUCCGGAUUACGAGCCUGCCUGCCCUCUCCUGUACCUUCGAC